RNAcentral lists this unclassified non-coding RNA (2324 nucleotides) under Melitaea cinxia (Glanville fritillary). RNAcentral describes it as "misc RNA ENSMCXG00005013657.1". The record is from RNAcentral. Lineage: Eukaryota; Metazoa; Arthropoda; Insecta; Lepidoptera; Nymphalidae.
GUUUGUUCGUGUUGACAGAUCGUUGUCAGAAAAUCUUAUACCGAUCGAAUAGUGCGUUGUUUAUCAACAUGUCAGUAUAUAUAAGCCGGGAGACGGCGUCUGAGUCAGACGACAUUCAAACUCAAGCUAGGCAUCAGUGGUUAUAAUAAAUAAUGUUCUCCCAAAAAGUGUUAGUUUUUGCAGUGCUAAUCGUGUUGGUGUCGAUGGUGGCAGCAAAUCCAUUGCAGCGCGAUUGGGCCAAUAUAAUGGUUCUACAGGAGUUCUGCGUUUUACAAGGCGGCGUGUGCCUUCCUGUUGAUGACUGCGAGCCUCAGAACCUCGUCCGAACGCAAUUGAGGGGCCUCCUAUGUAGCAAGCAGAGUGGACUUGAAUGCUGUUAUCAAUCUUGACGUCGAGGAUCUGCCUAAAUUUCCGCCUUAAUUUAAGAAGAUUUAUUUAAGUAACUUUAAUGUAAUAUUAUAAGAUAAAAAUGUCGCGAUAAGAUGAUAUAUUUUUAUCAUUAUAUAAAUAUAUAUAUACUUAAGUAAUAGUUAAGUUUUAUAAAAAUGUUAUACUAUUAGCUGUUUUGUUUUCUUUACGUUUUUACUAUUCAGUACUUAAUUUCAAUAGCUUUUGUUUGACUAGCUUCAUAAUCUUUUAUUUAAGAAGUUAUUCAGCGAAACUCAUCCGGUCAUUAUAUCAUGAACGAAAUAAUAAAAACAUCUAAAUCUUAAUAAAUAUUUUGACAAUAUUAGCAAAUCAGUUAUUUAUGUUGUUUUUAUUUAUUUUUUUAUUAACUUUUUUUGAGAAAACCUGCCAAGAAACUUAGAUCUUAGGAUCUUCUUUAACUUUAAAAAAUCAUGGCCAAUAUUCGACUUACGUUACGACACGUUAGAAUAAAAAAUGUUGAUUCAUAAACUUAACAAUUUAUUUACAAUAAAUUGAAAUGCAAAUUCUAGAUGAAGAUUUUUAAAGUUUUGCAUUGUAUUUAAAUGUGUAAAAUAAUAAAUUGAAAUAAUUGUAUAUUAAUGUUUAUAAUAUUUUAUAUCUUCUCCUUAUUGUUUUCUAAUAUUUACUUUAAUGUUCUUCUCCUUAAUUAAUUAUCCUUCUUAUACAGAAAUAGAGUUAUGCCCAGCAGUAGGAUGUUACAGGCAGAAUCGUAAUAUUUAAUUACAAUAAUUUUUUAAUUUAUAAAGAUAAACGCAUCUCUUUGUACAAAUAGAGCUUAAAAUGAAAACAUCUGUGGGCAUUAUAAAUGUUUGCCAAUUUUGGGGAUCAAAAGCGCGACCGCCAGCGCAACAGCUAUGAGAGUGGUGUGACCGUUGUCCAGAUAAACCGAAAAAUAUGUUGAAAUGUAUAUCAACUUUUCGAAGGAUAGUACUAAAGUAUGGUUGAUAACUCUGUCGAAUCCGGGUAAUACUUGGCGUUCGUUGUAGUGCGAAGUAAAGGAGCCGCCAAUAUUUAAAACUGAGUAUGAUAAUAUUACAAGUUUAACGUAGUUAUUGUACCGGAAGACUAAAUAAUAUAGGUACUUGUGUGACAAAGUGCUGUGGGGUUACGGCAGUAAAGAGCCCCCCCCCUUUCUUCCCGUGGGUGUCGUAAGAGGCGACUAAGGAAUAACACAGUUCCACUACCACCUUGCAACUUAAAAAGCUGACGAAUGGCAGGAUAACUAUCCAACUACUGGCUUUGAAAUACAUAGGCCGAAGAUGGGCAGCAUCGUCUGCGAUCCGACAAAACCAGCCCUGCAGUAACCAACCCGCCUGACCAGCGCGGUGACUAUGGGCAAAAUACAUGAGUUCACGUCAUUUUUGGCGCGUACUUGAGGAGCCCUAUGUCUAGGAUGGACUGCGAUAGGAAGUGAAUAAGUGUGACUGGCGUAGUGGAGGUUAGGUAAUAUGAAUAGGGACACACUGAAGUUACGGCGUGGAUAAUUUACAUUAUAUAAUUUAUUACAAUAUAAUGUUAUUAUAUUCCAUUAAUAAAAGUGAUAAUAAGACUAACUAAUAUUGACUUUUGACAUGGCGAUUGUAAUAUUAGAUAAAUAUUUGUUAAACACCCCGCAAUAUACCAUAAAUAUUAAUAUUGUCUUUAUUUAGAUAGUACAAUAGUAUUAGUAGUAAUAAUGUAAGUAUAGAUAGUAUUCAAUUUUGCGCACAAAUUCGUUCGUAUAGAAAUUUUUACGUACCACGACCACCACGACCACGACCACUACUUUUACCACGUAUUAUUUUGUUCGACAGGAACAGAGCCUUUUUUAAGUAUUAUUAUACCAUAUAAUAUCAUCAAAAUAUAUCUCUAGAAAAAAAAAACACUAGACUUCCUUACCUUCCUUACCUACAUAC